Molecule: non-coding RNA, 112 nt
Organism: Acanthosepion pharaonis
Lineage: Eukaryota; Metazoa; Mollusca; Cephalopoda; Sepiida; Sepiidae
Source: the annotation of a GenBank genome assembly
UUACGACCAUACCACGUUUAAACACCAGUCCCAUAAGAUCAGCGAAGUUAAGUAACAUCGCGCCUGAUCAGUAACUAGAUAGGAAUCCUCUUGAGAAUACCAGGUGCUGUAA